GAAAUGCGAUAAGUAAUGUGAAUUGCAGAAUUCAGUGAAUCAUCGAAUCUUUGAACGCACCUUGCGCUCCCUGGUAUUCCGGGGAGCAUGCCUGUUUGAGUGUCAUGAAAACCCUCAACCUUAGAUUGGUUAACACCUUUCUUUGGCUUGGAUUUGGACGUUUGCCGAUGAUAAGUCGGCUCGUCUUAAAAGUAAUAGCUGGAUCUGUCUCGCGACAUGGUUUGACUUGGCGUAAUAAGUAUUUCGCUAAGGACAUCUUCGGAUGGCCGCGUUGCAAGACUAAAGACCGCUUUCUAAUCCAUUGAUCUUCGGAUGAAUAUUCUUGACAUCUGGCCUCAAAUCAGGUAGGACUACCCGCUGAACUUAAGC
This 369-nucleotide unclassified non-coding RNA is filed under the name plant metagenome. RNAcentral's name for it is "partial contains 5.8S ribosomal RNA, internal transcribed spacer 2, and large subunit ribosomal RNA". The stretch from base 1 to 105 matches the Rfam family "5.8S ribosomal RNA", at positions 50 to 154 of the family's 154-position model. The record is from RNAcentral.